RNAcentral lists this ribosomal RNA (2521 nucleotides) under human oral metagenome. RNAcentral describes it as "bacterial LSU rRNA". It matches the Rfam family "Bacterial large subunit ribosomal RNA", at positions 14 to 2347 of the family's 2925-position model. The record is from RNAcentral.
AGGGCGCUAAAUGGAUGCCUAGACGUAUAUUACCGAUGAAGGACGUGGAAGACUGCGAUAAGCUUCGGGAAGCUGUCAACAAGCUUUGAUCCGGAGAUCUCCGAAUGGGGAAACCCAGCAUGAGUCAUGUCAUGUUGCCACUUGCUGAACACAUAGGCAAGCGAGCGGGAACCAUCUGAACUGAAACAUCUUAGUAGGAUGAGGAAGAGAAAGUAAAUAACGAUUGCGAAAGUAGUGGCGAGCGAAAUCGCAACAGCCCAAACCUUUUAAGUUUUUGCCUAUUAAUUUAGGCAAAUAAGUUGAUAGACGAAUACUUAUAAGGGGUUGUGAUAUUACAUAUGACCAAGUCAGAGAAUUUGAUUCAUUCAAAUAAUCUGAUUUGCGAUAACUGGCUAUCAACAGUUAGUAAGGUAAGAAAUCGGCGUGGUUAGUAGAAUAGUUUGAAUGACUAGCCAAAGAACGUGAAAGCCGUGUAUAUGAAAACGACGCUGACCUUAUGUAUGUUUUAUCGAGUAGGACGGGGCACGAGAAACCCUGUUUGAAUCUGGCUGGACCACCAGCCAAGGCUAAAUAUAAUAUACGAUCGAUAGUGAACUAGUACAGUGAUGGAAAGGUGAAAAGAACCCCGGGAGGGGAGUGAAAUAGAUCCUGAAAUUUAGUGCCUACAAGGAGUCGGAGCCGGCUUGUCCGGUGACGGCGUGCUUUUUGUAGAACGAUCCAGCGAGUUAAUUUUUACAGCGAGGUUAAGUCAAUUGACGGAGCCACAGUGAAAGCGAGCCUGAAUAGGGCGAUUAAGUUGUAAGGAUUAGACCCGAAACCGGGUGACCUAACCAUGAGCAGGUUGAAGCCACUGUAACAGGUGGUGGAGGACCGAACCAGGAUACGCAGCAAAGUGUUUGGAUGACUUGUGGUUAGCGGUGAAAUGCCAAUCGAACUCGGAGAUAGCUGGUUCUCCUCGAAAUAGCUUUAGGGCUAGCGUCGUGUUAGUAGCACAUGGGGGUAGAGCUCUGUAAAGGACUGGGGCGGGCAACUGUACCCACCCUUAACAAACUACGAAUACCAUGUGUGUAAUCACGGCAGUUAGAACAUCGGUGCUAAGAUCGGUGCUCAAAAGGGAAACAGCCCAGACCAUCAUCUAAGGUCCCUAAAUUAACGUUCAGUGGGAAACAAGGUGAGAUUUCUUAAACAGCUAGGAUGUUGGCUUAGAAGCAGCCAUUCAUUUAAAGAGUGCGUAACAGCUCACUAGUCAAGAGAUCUUGCGUGGAAAAUGUAACGGGGCUAAAACGUUAUACCGAAGAUAUGGAUGUCAGAUUUAUCUGGCGUGGUAGAGGAGCGUUCCUAUCAGCGGUGAAGUCGAAUCGGAAGGUUCGGUGGAGCGGUAGGAAGUGAGAAUGCUGGAAUGAGUAACCAUAAGAGAGGUGAGAAUCCUCUCGGCCGUAAGAGCAAGGUUUCCUGAGCCAUGGUAAUCAUCUCAGGGUUAGUCGGGCCUAAGCCGAGGCGCAGAGCGUAGGCGAUGGACAUCAGGUUAAUAUUCCUGAACCGGUUAAGUUUUGUACACUGUUCACGGGGAAGUAAUCGAAGCGGAUUCAUGGUUUAUCCGUCCAACCGAGCGGGAACGCAAAGGGAGUGAAAGUGAUUCUUCGGAGUCGCGAUUUUGGUGAAAGCCCUGGCUAGAAAAGCAGGUGUACGUGUGGACUUAGCCGCCCGUACCGCAAACCAACACAGGUGCUCGAGUCGAGUAGACUCAGGCUUACGAGCGAACCUUCGCUAAGGAACUCGGCAAUACAGCGACCGUAACUUCGGGAUAAGGUCUGCCCCCACUUCGGUGGAUAUCAGCCGCGUUCACUCAGUGAAUAUUAGGUUAAAGAGUACAUUUUUAAUCACAAAACGAAUUUUCUGAGAUAGAGCAAACGAAUUGUUCUUUUGAACGCGAACCUCUGACGUCUAACGAUGUGGGGGCCGCAGCAAAAGAGCCCACGGAACUGUUUAUCAAAAACACAGGUCUCUGCUAACACGAAAGUGGAUGUAUAGGGGCUGACUCCUGCCCAAUGCUGGAAGGUUAAGGGGAGCGCUUCACGGUGCGAACUGAAGCCCUAGUCAAUGGCGGCGGUAACUAUAACCGUCCUAAGGUAGCGAAAUUCCUUGUCAGGUAAGUUCUGACCCGCACGAAUGGAGUAAUCAUGUGGGCACUGUCUCAGCGAAGGACUCGGUGAAAGUGCAUUGGCGGUAAAGAUGCCGUCUGUCCGUACCAGGACGAAAAGACCCCAUGGAGCUUUACUACAGCUUUACAUUGAAUAUGGUUUCAACAUGUGUAGCAUAGGUGGGAGACUUUGAAACAGAUACGCCAGUAUUUGUGGAGUCACCAAGUGAAAUACCACCCUUGUUGUGAUUGUGUUCUCACGCUGACCGUUAUCCGGUUAGCGGACCGUGUAUGGUGGGUAGUUUAACUGGGGCGGUUGCCUCCUAAAGAGUAGCGGAGGCGUUCAAAGGUUGGCUAACUUCGGAUGGAAAUCGAAGUGAU